CAGGUUCCCCUCACCGGAAUGGUGCAGCAGAAGCGGCUGUCCGUUUAGUUAAGCGGGCCCUACUGAAUCUAGGCUGUAACAAAGUUAUGUCAUGGGGGGAAUUUCAAACUUUUCUUUACACGGCAAGCAAUCUGGUCAAUGAAAGACCUAUUGAUGCCAGGACACAAAGUCGAGAAGACUGUGUGGAAUAUGUAAGUCCAAACUCUCUUCUCCUGGGUCGUACUGGGAGAAAGGGGGAUCAAGGAAGUUUUGAGUUUGAAGGCUAUCCAUACAGAAGGCUAAGAAUCAUCCAGGAAGAAGUCAACAAAUUCUGGAGAAGUUGGUGUCAGCUGGCAGGUCCUAACCUCUUUGUAAGAAACAAGUGGCAUACUAAAGAGCGGAACGUUGCCGUGGGAGAUGUGGUAUGGGUGGCUGACCAGAAUGCUCUAAGAGGUCAGUACAAGAUGGCCAGAGUCGUCGAUAUAAAUGCAGACAAGAAAGGAACCGUGAGAGAUGUAAUGGUCAGAGUAUUCCCCAGCUAUCCUGUCUCGAUUGUUAAACCAAACCAAGCAGAAACCGGCAAGAAUGUCAAACCAACAAAAAAGCAUUGUGACAAAAUUCCAGCUACGAUUCUGCGUAGGGAUGUGAGACGUUUGGUAGUUCUGAUUCCCAUUGAAGAACAGUAAAGACAUUUCAGCUAAGAAGUGUGUGUGACCUCCUUCGGUCAGUUGACCAGGAGCUCAAGUGGGAGGUGUUAAGUUGAAUUUGAGAGAAAGAAAAAAAAAAAGGAAAAAAAAGAGACAUGGUUAAAAAGUAUAAAUUCAUCAUUGGUAAAGAAGAUUUAAGAUCAAAAUGAGUGCAGCCUAUUGGUUGGGAGCACAUGGUGCAACCUGGGAGAAUCAAGGUAGCUGAUUGGUCAUUGAAACUCCACAUCUCCAAACUCCACCAGGUGUGUGUGAUUACUGGGAGCAAGAGGGAUCUUUGUUUGCAGUGAAUGUGCUUCUCCUACUGAAGUUGGUGGGUUUUGGUGUUCAAAAUACCAAAGGAGAAAGACUGUUGAAAAGCCACAAUGUUUCAUCAACUUUGAGAUGCAACUGGUUAUUAAGCUAACCUUCUGGAAUUAUCAUUGAGACAAGUACAAAAGAAGAUCUAGUCAAUGAUGAGAGAUUUUCAAUAAACUGCUUCUAUGAUGAAGAACCAGAUGGUUUGAGUUAUUCCAUGCACCUUCAGAGUUGAUUGAGGCCCUUUUCAAGUUUGGGCAGACAU
This is a non-coding RNA of Pimephales promelas (fathead minnow), 1245 nucleotides long. Lineage: Eukaryota; Metazoa; Chordata; Actinopteri; Cypriniformes; Leuciscidae. The record is from RefSeq and is a predicted model, not a curated record.